UGCGCGGCUUACCAUGCAAGUCGAGCGGUAACAGGGGGUGCUUGCACCCCGCUGACGAGCGGCGGACGGGUGAGUAAUGCAUAGGAAUCUGCCCAGUAGUGGGGGAUAGCCCGGGGAAACCCGGAUUAAUACCGCAUACGCCCUUUGGGGGAAAGCAGGGGAUCUUCGGACCUUGCGCUAUUGGAUGAGCCUAUGUCGGAUUAGCUAGUUGGUGGGGUAAAGGCCUACCAAGGCGACGAUCCGUAGCUGGUCUGAGAGGAUGAUCAGCCACAUCGGGACUGAGACACGGCCCGAACUCCUACGGGAGGCAGCAGUGGGGAAUAUUGGACAAUGGGGGCAACCCUGAUCCAGCCAUGCCGCGUGUGUGAAGAAGGCUUUCGGGUUGUAAAGCACUUUCAGUGAGGAGGAAAACCUUCUGGUUAAUACCCAUGAGGCUUGACGUUACUCACAGAAGAAGCACCGGCUAACUCCGUGCCAGCAGCCGCGGUAAUACGGAGGGUGCAAGCGUUAAUCGGAAUUACUGGGCGUAAAGCGCGCGUAGGUGGUUUGAUAAGCGAGAUGUGAAAGCCCCGGGCUUAACCUGGGAACGGCAUUUCGAACUGUCAGGCUA
RNAcentral lists this ribosomal RNA (610 nucleotides) under Marinobacter sp. RNAcentral describes it as "bacterial SSU rRNA". It matches the Rfam family "Bacterial small subunit ribosomal RNA", at positions 41 to 643 of the family's 1533-position model. The record is from RNAcentral. Lineage: Bacteria; Pseudomonadati; Pseudomonadota; Gammaproteobacteria; Pseudomonadales; Marinobacteraceae.